UGGGGAAUAUUGCACAAUGGGCGCAAGCCUGAUGCAGCCAUGCCGCGUGUAUGAAGAAGGCCUUCGGGUUGUAAAGUACUUUCAGCGGGGAGGAAGGGAGUAAAGUUAAUACCUUUGCUCAUUGACGUUACCCGCAGAAGAAGCACCGGCUAACUCCGUGCCAGCAGCCGCGGUAAUACGGAGGGUGCAAGCGUUAAUCGGAAUUACUGGGCGUAAAGCGCACGCAGGCGGUUUGUUAAGUCAGAUGUGAAAUCCCCGGGCUCAACCUGGGAACUGCAUCUGAUACUGGCAAGCUUGAGUCUCGUAGAGGGGGGUAGAAUUCCAGGGGUAGCGGUGAAAUGCGUAGAGAUCUGGAGGAAGACCGGUGGCGAAGGCGGCCCCCUGGACAAAGACUGACGCUCAGGUGCGAAAGCGUGGGGAGCAAACAGG
This 429-nucleotide ribosomal RNA is filed under the name Chloroflexota bacterium. Its description in RNAcentral is "Chloroflexi bacterium partial 16S ribosomal RNA". It matches the Rfam family "Bacterial small subunit ribosomal RNA", at positions 355 to 776 of the family's 1533-position model. Lineage: Bacteria; Bacillati; Chloroflexota. The record is from RNAcentral.